RNAcentral lists this ribosomal RNA (506 nucleotides) under uncultured bacterium. RNAcentral's name for it is "partial 16S ribosomal RNA". It matches the Rfam family "Bacterial small subunit ribosomal RNA", at positions 30 to 523 of the family's 1533-position model. The record is from RNAcentral.
AUUGAACGCUGGCGGCAGGCUUAACACAUGCAAGUCGAGCGGUAACAGAGAGAAGCUUGCUUCUCUGCUGACGAGCGGCGGACGGGUGAGUAAUGCCUAGGAAUCUGCCUAGUAGUGGGGGAUAACUUGCCGAAAGGUAAGCUAAUACCGCAUACGUCCUACGGGAGAAAGGGGGGGACCUUCGGGCCUUUCGCUAUGAGAUGAGCCUAGGUCGGAUUAGUUAGUUGGUGAGGUAAUGGCUAACCAAGACCGCGAUCCGUAACUGGUCUGAGAGGAUGAUCAGUCACACUGGAACUGAGACACGGUCCAGACGCCUACGGGAGGCAGCAGUGGGGAAUAUUGGACAAUGGGGGGAACCCUGAUCCAGCCAUGCCGCGUGUGUGAAGAAGGUCUUAGGAUUGUAAAGCACUUUAAGUUGGGAGGAAGAGCAGUUAACUAAUAUUUGACUGUUUUGACGUUACCGACAGAAUAAGCACCGGCUAACUUCGUGCCAGCAGCCGCCGUAA